RNAcentral lists this ribosomal RNA (433 nucleotides) under uncultured bacterium. Its description in RNAcentral is "partial 16S ribosomal RNA". It matches the Rfam family "Bacterial small subunit ribosomal RNA", at positions 29 to 507 of the family's 1533-position model. The record is from RNAcentral.
AACGAACGCUGGCGGCAUGCCUAACACAUGCAAGUCGAACGAGACCUUCGGGUCUAGUGGCGCACGGGUGCGUAACGCGUGGGAACCUGCCCUUAGGUUCGGAAUAACUCCCCGAAAGGGGUGCUAAUACCGGAUAAUGUCUUCGGACCAAAGAUUUAUCGCCUUUGGAUGGGCCCGCGUUGGAUUAGCUAGUUGGUAGGGUAAAAGCCUACCAAGGCGACGAUCCAUAGCUGGUCUGAGAGGAUGAUCAGCCACACUGGGACUGAGGCACGGCCCAGACUCCUACGGGAGGCAGCAGUGGGGAAUAUUGGACAAUGGGCGAAAGCCUGAUCCAGCAAUGCCGCGUGAGUGAUGAAGGCCUUAGGGUUGUAAAGCUCUUUUACCCGGGAUGAUAACGACAGUACCGGGAGAAUAAGCUCCGGCUAACUCCGUG